This is a long non-coding RNA of Aphis gossypii (cotton aphid), 1691 nucleotides long. RefSeq lists it as uncharacterized. The transcript has 4 exons. NCBI's taxonomy places the organism in Eukaryota, Metazoa, Arthropoda, Insecta, Hemiptera, Aphididae. The record is from RefSeq and is a predicted model, not a curated record.
CGUAGGAGUAGUGUAACGUGCGGUCGUCCCGCGGCGGUCGCGGUUAUAUACAACAAAAUGCCGCCCACGUAAUAACGAUAUUAUAUGUAUAAUAUAUGAACUGUUAAACGGAGUGUUGUUCGGCCGCGUCAGUGGUGCAGGACACGUCGGCGUCCGAGUUCGUGUCGUCGACGACGGACUUACUCGCUCAAGUCGCGGAUAAUAAACAAUAAUGAUAUCGCGUCUGUGUCGCCGUUUUAUAUAUUUCUCGUAUGCGAAAAUUGUUGUGAAAAUGUGAAAUCGCUCCGAUGGUGACUUACUACCGUGUAACCUCGGUAUCGCGUGCUGUCUGCAGUGGACGACGCAAACGACCGCGACCGAAAUCGACGAAACGGUUUAUUCCGCUCGUAUUAUAAUGAUUGCGUGCGCAAAUAUAUAGGUACCUAUAUGUGUCGAAACUUGUGUAAUUCUCAUAAUAUAAUAUAUUAUAGUGCGAGUGUGUAAAAGGUCACUGGUGAACACACUGACCUACAACGACGUCUUGCCGUACACUUAUAUGUGCGUUAUCCGUACAAAUUUUUUGAUUUUUUUUUCUUUUUUUUUACGUGCGAAAACGAAAAGAACAAUCUAUUUACCUAUACCACGUCGAAGGAAUAUCGCUUGCAAGCGUACAUUAAAUUAUGUAAGACUCGUGUAUUACUCGCAUCAUAAGGCCGAGUACCUACUAUUGCAUUUGUUAUAAGACGGGUGCGAUGUCGUCCAAGGCUAUCGGUUAUAUAAGAAACAGUAAUUGAAAGAACGCUUCAAUUUUUAUUUCUCAUCCCCAACGCUCUUUCUAAAAAAAAAAAAAUUACGUAACGCGUUCAACGAGACGUGUACACCGAUGAAUCGUUGUUUCAAGUUUUUUAAUAUAUAAUACCGCCUCAUAUAAUUGCAAUGAAACCUAACUCAAAUCGCGGCUGGAUUAUGGUUGAAAAAGUAAUAAUGUGCGAGAAGUCCUCUCCAACCAUCCGCGAUGGCACCGACCGCAAAACAAAUUUGAUGUCUAUAGCUGAAGCGUUAGUCUUAUUACAACUGUUGAGACCGAUAAUAAUAAUAUUUAGAAUAAUAUUUCAAUACAAUACGAACGUCAUAUUGUUCUGACAUAAGCCGAGCGGCCGUUCAAGAAGACGCAGUGAUCGCGUUGAGGUAUGCAGACCGAGACAGAUAUCACGAGAAUUGAAUACUAUCAUUCACAUAUAUAUUGAACAAUUGAACAUUACUAACGAUUGGUCUUCACUAAGAAUUUAUAUCCGUGACAACAAGCAAAAUGCAAAUAUAUCUAAGGAAGUAUAAGCGUAUCUACAACAUUGUGUUUUAUUUUUAAUAUAUUAUAAUAUUGUAUUUUAUUCUAUUAUGUCCAAAAACGAUUUUGAAUCCAACGUUUUACUUUUACAAAUAUUGAUCACCGUCUGCCCGACUUUUAACCAGUUAUAUACAUUAUGUUCAGUCUCGUCUCUUUAUAAUUUAUAAAAGAUUAAAGGCGAAUUUGUGCUUUUUACUGAGGGGUAUAUUGAUGCUCCUUCUCUGCUCUACUAAUUAAAUUUUAAAGUCCCUUCCUGUUUCACACGUUCCCUUGUUCUUUUUAAUGUACCUACUCGUCCACAUUACUUAUUACGGUCGGAACCAUCUCAUUCGAAGAAUGAUUGUUAACGUUUUUAAUGAGCAAACCC